GAUGAACGCUGGCGGCGUGCCUAACACAUGCAAGUCGAACGGGAUGCGUAUCGGAAAGCUUCGGCCGGAAGAUACGUUAUCUAGUGGCGGACGGGUGAGUAACACGUGGGUAACCUGCCUUAUGGAGGGGGAUAACAGAGAGAAAUCACUGCUAAUACCGCAUAAGCACACAGUACCGCAUGGUACAGGGUGAAAAGAUUUAUCACCAUAAGAUGGACCCGCGUCUGAUUAGCCAGUUGGCAGGGUAAAAGCCUACCAAAGCAACGAUCAGUAGCCGAUCUGAGAGGAUGACCGGCCACAUUGGGACUGAGACACGGCCCAAACUCCUACGGGAGGCAGCAGUGGGGAAUAUUGCACAAUGGGGGAAACCCUGAUGCAGCGACGCCGCGUGAGUGAAGAAGUAUUUCGGUAUGUAAAGCUCUAUCAGCAGGGAAGAUAAUGACAGUACCUGACUAAGAAGCCCCGGCUAACUACGUGCCAGCAGCCGCGGUAAUACGUAGGGGGCAAGCGUUAUCCGGAUUUACUGGGCGUAAAGGGAGCGUAGACGGAGUGGCAAGUCUGAAGUGAAAACCCUGGGCUUAACCUAGGGACUGCUUUGGAAACUGUUAAUCUAGAGUGUUGGAGAGGUAAGUGGAAUUCCUGGUGUAGCGGUGAAAUGCGUAGAUAUCAGGAAGAACACCGGAGGCGAAGGCGGCUUACUGGACAAUAACUGACGUUGAGGCUCGAAAGCGUGGGGAUCAAACAGG
RNAcentral lists this ribosomal RNA (746 nucleotides) under uncultured Oribacterium sp. RNAcentral describes it as "bacterial SSU rRNA". It matches the Rfam family "Bacterial small subunit ribosomal RNA", at positions 28 to 776 of the family's 1533-position model. Lineage: Bacteria; Bacillati; Bacillota; Clostridia; Lachnospirales; Lachnospiraceae. The record is from RNAcentral.